AACGAGGCCGACCUGCGGCUGAGUUACCUGCGGAGGGAUCAUUACCGAGUUUACAACUCCCAAACCCCUGUGAACAUACCACUUGUUGCCUCGGCGGAUCAGCCCGCUCCCGGUAAAACGGGACGGCCCGCCAGAGGACCCCUAAACUCUGUUUCUAUAUGUAACUUCUGAGUAAAACCAUAAAUAAAUCAAAACUUUCAACAAUGGAUCU
This 211-nucleotide unclassified non-coding RNA is filed under the name soil metagenome. RNAcentral's name for it is "partial contains 5.8S ribosomal RNA, internal transcribed spacer 2, and large subunit ribosomal RNA". The record is from RNAcentral.